Molecule: long non-coding RNA, 2322 nt
Organism: Cygnus olor (mute swan)
Lineage: Eukaryota; Metazoa; Chordata; Aves; Anseriformes; Anatidae
Exons: 3
Source: RefSeq, a predicted model, not a curated record
AAGGUUUGAAUCUUAGAAGUACUCUACACUUACAGCUUUAGGUCAUCAAAAACUGGCAAAUAAUUUAAAAGAUGAAAGGAUCAGAGUCACAACUACAGGUUGGAAAGGUUGGCACUGAAAGCAGGUGUCAAUAUGUGUUGGUACAGUGCUGUACAUAAACUGGGAGCGAGAAGCACAAACAGUCCUCACUCAAGGAGAAUGUGGCAUAACUACAGAGAAGUCUACUAUAUAAAGAGCUGCUGAUUCUGGUAAACUUGUUCAUCCUCUUCCUUCCAUAAUGUAGUGUUUUCUCCUGUAUAUUGAAUAGUAGUAGGCUACUUCCAUAAAGUUACUACAUUAUGCCUUCUGUGCAUAGCAGCUGCACUGUCUCUGAAUUAGUAUGUUUUAAAAGUUUCAAGAAAGGUCACCUGAAAUUUUGUCUGUACCCAGUUGUUCUGUCAUAGCAAAUCUUGGCAUUAGCAAACUGAGAGUUAGACCUACCUUUUCAGUAUUUCUUUGACUGCUAGAUAAGUGGUUAGAAGGUUGCUAAAAGGCCUAAGUGUAAUCUAGUUUGUGGAUGAGAAUAUCAGAGCAGAUAAGCAAAUGCACACAGUGAAAAUGCAAGUUACUGGUUUAGUGCUGUGUUUCAACCAAUGUUGAACUAGUGAAUGAAGUUAAGAAAUUGCCUAACCGCAAUACAUGACAGCAUACACCUUGUGCAUCCAUGCAGGCAAAAGGCAGGCUGAAUCCAGUAUUUGCUCUAUUAUGCAUGCAGAUGACCCAGCCACCUGCUGCUGAGACUCCUGCUCCAUUCAAAACACAUGCUCACUUCUGCUUGUGAGGCACAUAGAAGAAAAUAUAGGGCACUAAAUGCAAAAGGAAGUAGCAUUUAUUACCUGGAAGAAUAGCGCAAAGGCCUGAUCUAAGAUAAGGUGUAGUAGCAAACAAAGUACUCCCUUCUUGUUGCUGUCUUGGUAGGAGCAGGAGCACAAGAAAAUGCAACUUUCUCUGUUGCUGUUUCCUACCUCUUGUGUAUGUGCGAGGUCAGGCUGAGAACGGGUGAAGUAUUAGGCUUCAAGAGCCUCAAGUGAAUGCUGUGUGAUAGUAGUUAAGUGUAAGUGGGGAAGGAGUGGUCUUUCUGAAAGAAGAGAAAGUUUAAUAUCUACUGUAAUACUUGAUGUAGUCUUAGUACAUAGCUGUGAAGGAGUACCUCUGAAGGCCUGCAGAUGUUUUGGGGGUUGAUGUGCUGCCUAACUGAAAGGCCAUUUGAUGCCUGGUGCCACCAUUGGGUGACCAAGCGGUUAGCCACCUUUCUUUUGGGUCCAGGCAGUAUGCUUCCCAGCUGCUAAAGGUUUCAACAGAUUUUGAUGUGUUGGGAUAAAUUUAUGGAGGGAUUUUGUGCCCGUGAGAGAGGCACAGGAUGAGAUCGUGACUGGAAAAUUGGGCACAUGUUGGCUGUAAAUGUCAGUCAGUGCAGGUUUUUAGAGAGUAGGUGCAUGGAGGCACAGGAAGGAGAUGUGACACUUGGCUCUAGGGGGGAAACAGGAUCCCAGGGUGUCAUUGGAUACAGAAGGUUAUAGUUUGUUUAUUUAAGUUUCUGUUUGGAUAUAAGCUGUUAAGAGUUCAAAGAGUAGCCCUACCAGAAAUACCAAAGACAAUUGGGUGAAUGGAUCACCAAAUGAAGUCUGGUAGAACUUAAAAGAAUAUGUACACCAACUUUAGUCAGUUGGGAAGAGUAAUUGAUGUAAUAUAUAGCAUUUAAUAAGAUUAAUAUUUAUUUACCAAAAAGUAAACUGUUUACUUUGGACCAGCUACUGGUAUCUUUGAUGAGACUAGUGGCAGCAUCAAAUUCUUUCAUACAAUAGUACUGUUUCAGAGGAAAAAGUGUUCAAUAGCUAUCCAUCCCCUAGGCUGAGUUAAAAAAGGGAUGGUAAAUUGGGAUUUAUGAUAUUUUACACAGGUGCCGAGCUGGUCUCAGUUGCCAUGGCAGCAAAUUAGCACCAGGGACUUCUGUCAUGGUAGGUGCAUUAGGCCAAGCCCUUAGGCCCUCGGGCUUUCCUCUUGCUUUUCAGGCCAGGCUGGCUGUCCGCUGCCACAGAGGCUGCCCCCUUUUCAUUUCCCUUAGGAAAAUCUCAUUGAAGAAAGAAUGAUUUUCCCUGCAUAUCUACGUAAACAUGCAAUUAAGAGGCUGUCUCUGUACCAAGGAGCCCUAUGUACGGCCCAAUAACAUGGAAAGCUGGAACUUCUGGAGAAGUUUGCUCUACUUGGGGCUGUUUUGGAUCAAAAUUAUGAAUAGGAGUUUACACCGAGUGAUUUUUAAUCUAACUUUGUUAUUUGCUGACU